AGCGAACGCUGGCGGCAGGCCUAACACAUGCAAGUCGAACGAACCUUUCGGGGUUUGUGGCGGACGGGUGAGUAACACGUGGGAACGUGCCCUUAGGUUUGGAAUAACUCAGGGAAACUUGUGCUAAUACCGAAUGUGCCCUUCGGGGGAAAGAUUUAUCGCCUUUAGAGCGGCCCGCGUCUGAUUAGCUAGUUGGUUGAGGUAAUGGCUCACCCAGGCGACGUUCAGUAGCUGGUCUGAGAGGAUGAUCAGCCACAUUGGCACUGAGACACGGCCGAAACUCCUACGGGAGGCAGCAGUGGGGGAUCUUGCGCAAUGGGGGAAAGCCUGACGCAGCCAUGCCGCGUAAAUGAUGAAGGUCUUAGGAUUGUAAAAUUCUUUCACCGGGGACGAUAAUGACGGUACCCGGAGAAGAAGCCCCGGCUAACUUCGUG
This 434-nucleotide ribosomal RNA is filed under the name uncultured bacterium. Its description in RNAcentral is "partial 16S ribosomal RNA". It matches the Rfam family "Bacterial small subunit ribosomal RNA", at positions 29 to 507 of the family's 1533-position model. The record is from RNAcentral.